This is a long non-coding RNA of Cyprinus carpio carpio, 590 nucleotides long. The record is from Ensembl. Lineage: Eukaryota; Metazoa; Chordata; Actinopteri; Cypriniformes; Cyprinidae.
UUGCUGCUUUGCCUGCAACGUCCUGAAUGUUAAAAUAACCCAUGAUGAUGAAUCAGAGUUGCAAGAGGCGUUGCUAUCAGAAGACCGGAAAGAUGUGAAUAUAAAAACAUUGAGAGGGACAGAGGUACAGACCUAGCUUCUACUAAACUGUUGAGAAGAAUUCAAAGACUAGUGAGACUGAAGAAGAAAGAAUGGCAAGCAACUACACCAAUGAGACUAUGGCCAAGAUCAGCGGCUCUGACCUUACGGAAAUUAUGGGAAUACUGACGGAGGCAUUUCUGAAUAUGAUGGAGGAGGAAGAGUCCCAAGAGCCCCCCAGGAAGGUGGAGGCCAAGGUCUUGCUGGAGACCCAAAUCCCGACUAUAGAACACUGUAAAGAGUGUGAAAGUGAUGGGAGAGGCCGUACCUUUAUCUGUGAAGAUCCGAAGGGAGAUUACAUAGGAGCAUGCCAACAUGAAAUAACCAAUACACAGCUACUGAAGCAAAAAUUUGGCCAGUACCUUACCAUUGUAAAGCAGAGUACAAAAAAUUGGCCCCAAAAUGAUAUCAUAAGAGAUCCAGUACUAACAGAAGAUGACGUCAAACCAAAA